GAUCAUGGCUCAGAACGAACGCUGGCGGCAGGUUUAACACAUGCAAGUCGAGCGCCCGCAAGGGGAGCGGCAGACGGGUGAGUAACGCGUGGGAAUCUACCCAUCUCUACGGAACAACUCCGGGAAACUGGAGCUAAUACCGUAUACGUCCUAAGGGAGAAAGAUUUAUCGGAGAUGGAUGAGCCCGCGUUGGAUUAGCUAGUUGGUGGGGUAAUGGCCUACCAAGGCGACGAUCCAUAGCUGGUCUGAGAGGAUGAUCAGCCACACUGGGACUGAGACACGGCCCAGACUCCUACGGGAGGCAGCAGUGGGAAUAUUGGACAAUGGGCGCAAGCCUGAUCCAGCCAUGCCGCGUGAGUGAUGAAGGCCCUAGGGUUGUAAAGCUCUUUCAACGGUGAAGAUAAUGACGGUAACCGUAGAAGAAGCCCCGGCUAACUUCGUG
RNAcentral lists this ribosomal RNA (442 nucleotides) under uncultured bacterium. Its description in RNAcentral is "bacterial SSU rRNA". It matches the Rfam family "Bacterial small subunit ribosomal RNA", at positions 15 to 507 of the family's 1533-position model. The record is from RNAcentral.